This 280-nucleotide ribosomal RNA is filed under the name uncultured bacterium. RNAcentral's name for it is "partial 16S ribosomal RNA". It matches the Rfam family "Bacterial small subunit ribosomal RNA", at positions 338 to 634 of the family's 1533-position model. The record is from RNAcentral.
CCUACGGGGGGCAGCAGUUAAGGAUAUUGCGCAAUGGGCGAAAGCCUGACGCAGCGACGCCGCGUGCCUGAAGAAGGCCUUCGGGUUGUAAAGGGCAGUAGAUGGGGACGAAGAAAGUGACGGUACCCAUUGAAAGCACCGGCUAAUUACGUGCCAGCAGCCGCGGUAAUACGUAUGGUGCAAGCGUUGCUCGGAAUCACUGGGCGUAAAGGGUGCGUAGGUGGUUAUACAAGUCUGUUGUGAAAUACAGCAGCUCAACUGCUGUGCAGCGACGGAAACU